Haliotis rufescens (red abalone) is the source of this 1499-nucleotide long non-coding RNA. RefSeq lists it as uncharacterized. The record is from RefSeq and is a predicted model, not a curated record. NCBI's taxonomy places the organism in Eukaryota, Metazoa, Mollusca, Gastropoda, Lepetellida, Haliotidae. The transcript is spliced from 3 exons.
UGCAGGUCUCGUCUUACCACUUCGGUGAAACCCACGAGCAUGGGUAUGGUGCUGACAAACCUAGAUUUUUAACAUAAUCGGGGCGAACCGGAAUUCGAACCCGCAAUCACAGAUUACUGGUGUGUCGGAGCGGCCCCACUGACGACUGGGCCCCUGAAUGUGGAUAAGUAAGACUAGAUAAUUUCUCUGAUCGGGGGUCAUGCUUAGUGACUUUGUUAACAGCGUGGCGUCCUACCCCAACGAAGUGGAUCAUUGCUCGUGAUACUGAUCAUUGGAUUGUCUGGUCCAGACACGAUUGUUUGCAGAACGCCGUCAUGUGGCGGGAGUGCUGCUUGGUGCGGCGUUGGGUAGCAGGCAAACACUUACUUUCUUGUGAAAAUUGUGCUUCCGGCAGAGAAGGACAUUCUGCCCCCCAUUGCGACUUUUCAGUGAUCCAUUCAGAUAAUUGUCAUCACUAUUACGCCCAAUGGAAUUUCUUUCGGGUAUAAUCGAGACUAGUUAUUUUCUGACGUUCAGGUUUUGCAUUCACUAUUGUAAUAGUGUUCCGUGAUGUUUGGCAAAGAUUUUGCAUUCAAAAAAGUAAACAUACUGUGAUAUAUGCACGCUAAACAUAACGUACAAGGGUGUUUUGGUUAUCUGUGUGCAGCAGGCCGAGGAUGGGUAGCACUGCCUGUGACGGCUUCAUUGGAGCAAAAAACGUCCCCAACGCAUGACACGAUAUGGGCGGUAAAUGCCACAUUGUCACAUCCAAGACCAACUGAAACACCACCCACACCAACGGCGACACCAACGACGAAAACGACACCAACCAUUACAACAACUCAUGAUGCCUAUGCGGCUACUACAACCCCUGUCUCCACUGCACAGUCACCGGCCACUACAGCCGUUGAGAUGACUACUACAAGUUCUACUACCUAUACUCUGACAACAAAAUGACAAGUACGCUCAACAAGAGUUGUACUUCACCCAGGAAGUGUCAUGUGUGUACGUCCAGAAAUGCCCGGUGUCCAGUGCACGGCACCAUGGCUGGAACUGACCCCGGUGAACUCAUGUCAUGUCCAUGUGCUACCGGCUGCUACUCCGAUGUCAGAUACAACGACGGGAAUGUUGUGUAUCGAGGAUGCACCCAAGACUUUCAUCUGUGGGAGGAAACAUCCUCCAAGGACCCGACAUGUCAAGAAAUUCGACGUCACUUCCUGUGUUUAUGUCAAGGAGAUCGUUGCAAUACGCACGACAUGACGUCAUAUAUUUCCGGAAGUGAUCGAGAGACAAAAAGACUCUAUAUUGGUGGAUUGUGCUUUUCAAAUGUGUAUCAUUCACCGCUUUCUAACAAAGUAACAUGGGGUAUGAAUACACUUUAAAACGCUAGGUCUUAGAUAAGUGUUCUGUAGAGACAUUUUAAGACACUGUACGAUCACUGUGUGCACCAAAAUCAAACAAACAGCAAGGUCCCGUUCCACAAAGUAUCUAAGCGCUACGGUGAGGUGAGGUGAAAUUGG